RNAcentral lists this ribosomal RNA (114 nucleotides) under Robiginitomaculum antarcticum. Lineage: Bacteria; Pseudomonadati; Pseudomonadota; Alphaproteobacteria; Maricaulales; Robiginitomaculaceae. The record is from RNAcentral.
CCGGGUGGUUAUGGCGAGAAGUCCCCACCCGUUCCCAUUCCGAACACGGUCGUUAAGCUUCUCUGCGCCGAUGGUACUUUGUCUCAAGGCACGGGAGAGUAGGUCGCUGCCCGG